This 672-nucleotide ribosomal RNA is filed under the name Zelia tricolor. Its description in RNAcentral is "partial 28S ribosomal RNA". It matches the Rfam family "Eukaryotic large subunit ribosomal RNA", at positions 607 to 1225 of the family's 3401-position model. The record is from RNAcentral. Lineage: Eukaryota; Metazoa; Arthropoda; Insecta; Diptera; Tachinidae.
UAUAUGAUUAACAAUGCGAAAGAUUCAGGAUACCUUCGGGACCCGUCUUGAAACACGGACCAAGGAGUCUAACAUAUCUGCAAGUUAUUGGGUAAAACCUAAUAGCGAAAUUAACAUAACUAUUUGGGAUUAGUUUUUAGUAGCUAUUAAUUCAAUCCCGGGGCGUUCGUUACAGUUACGUAUAAUAAUAUUUAUAUUACUUUCAUAWUAGUAACUAGAGCGUACCUUGAGCAUAUAUGCUGUGACCCGAAAGAUGGUGAACUAUACUUGAUCAGGUUGAAGUCAGGGGAAACCCUGAUGGAAGACCGAAACAGUUCUGACGUGCAAAUCGAUUGUCAGAGUUGAGUAUAGGGGCGAAAGACCAAUCGAACCAUCUAGUAGCUGGUUCCCUCCGAAGUUUCCCUCAGGAUAGCUGGUGCAUUUAAAAAUUAUGUAAAAUAAUCUUAUCUGGUAAAGCGAAUGAUUAGAGGCCUUAGGGUCGAAACGAUCUUAACCUAUUCUCAAACUUUAAAUGGGUAAGAACCUCACCUUUCUUGGUAUGAAGGUAGUGGUUGUGAUAUAAUGUGCCCAGUGGGCCACUUUUGGUAAGCAGAACUGGCGCUGUGGGAUGAANCNAAGCGUAAUGUUACGGUGCCCAAAUUAACAACUCAUACAGAUACCAUGAAAGGCGUU